RNAcentral lists this ribosomal RNA (464 nucleotides) under uncultured bacterium. Its description in RNAcentral is "partial 16S ribosomal RNA". It matches the Rfam family "Bacterial small subunit ribosomal RNA", at positions 338 to 795 of the family's 1533-position model. The record is from RNAcentral.
CCUACGGGAGGCAGCAGUAGGGAAUCUUCCACAAUGGGCGCAAGCCUGAUGGAGCAACACCGCGUGAGUGAAGAAGGGUUUCGGCUCGUAAAGCUCUGUUGUUGGAGAAGAACGUGCGUGAGAGUAACUGUUCACGCAGUGACGGUAUCCAACCAGAAAGUCACGGCUAAUUACGUGCCAGCAGCCGCGGUAAUACGUGGGUGGCAAGCGUUAUCCGGAUUUAUUGGGCGUAAAGCGAGCGCAGGGGGUUGCUUAGGUCUGAUGUGAAAGCCUUCGGCUAAACCGAAGAAGUGCAUCGGAAACCGGGCAACUUGAGUGCAGAAGAGGACAGUGGAACUCAUGUGUAGCGGUGGAAUGCGUAGAUAUAUGGAAGAACACCAGUGGCGAAGGCGGCUGUCUGGUCUGCAACUGACGCUGAGGCUCGAAAGCAUGGGUAGCGAACAGGAUUAGAUACCCCGGUAGUC